CAGUCGCCGCGGUAAUACGUAGGUGGCAAGCGUUGUCCGGAAUUAUUGGGCGUAAAGGGCUCGCAGGCGGUUUCUUAAGUCUAAUGUGAAAGCCCCCGGCUCAACCGGGGAGGGCCAUUGGAAACUGGGAAACUUGAGUGCAGAAGAGGAGAGUGGAAUUCCACGUGUAGCGGUGAAAUGCGUAGAGAUGUGGAGGAACACCAGUGGCGAAGGCGACUCUCUGGUCUGUAACUGAUGCUGAGGAGCGAAAGCGUGGGGAGCGAACAGGAUUAGAUACCCGUGUAGUCCCUGUCUCUUAUAC
RNAcentral lists this ribosomal RNA (301 nucleotides) under uncultured bacterium. RNAcentral describes it as "partial 16S ribosomal RNA". It matches the Rfam family "Bacterial small subunit ribosomal RNA", at positions 509 to 807 of the family's 1533-position model. The record is from RNAcentral.